AUUGAAAUAGUUUAUACAAAAUAUUAAAUUGUGAAUUUAAAGAAAUUUUUCAAUA
RNAcentral lists this transfer RNA (55 nucleotides) under Tetranychus pueraricola. Its description in RNAcentral is "tRNA-His". Lineage: Eukaryota; Metazoa; Arthropoda; Arachnida; Trombidiformes; Tetranychidae. The record is from RNAcentral.